GGUUGGAUGGCCGAGUGGUCUAAGGCGCUAGAAUCAGGUGUUGCUCAUCUAGUCCGCAAGGGCGUGGGUUCGAAUCCCACUCCAAUCA
This is a non-coding RNA of Mycena polygramma, 88 nucleotides long. The record is from the annotation of a GenBank genome assembly. Lineage: Eukaryota; Fungi; Basidiomycota; Agaricomycetes; Agaricales; Mycenaceae.